AGACAACCAGGAGGUUGGCUUAGAAGCAGCCAUCCUUUAAAGAAAGCGUAAUAGCUCACUGGUCAAGCGAGUCUGCGCCGAUAAUUCAACGGGGCUAAAGUUCGACACCGAAGCCACGGAUUCUCGAAAGAGAGUGGUAGGCGAGCGUUCUCACGGAGAUACAAGGUAGACCGUAAGGACUACUGUCGGCCGUGAGAAGUGAAUAUGCAGGCAUGAGUAGCGAUAAACCGGGCGAGAAACCCGGUCGCCGUAAGCCCAAGGUUUCCUGGGGAAGGAUAAUCCUCCCAUGGGUUAGUCGAUACCUAAGCCGAGGCCGAGAGGCGUAGGCGAUGGAAAGCAGGUUAAUAUUCCUGCACCGCCAGGGAUGGCGUAGAUGUAAGCGGGGACGGAGAAGGGUAGCCCAGCACGGCGGUUGGUCGUCCGUGUUCAAGCAAGUAGGCUGAGUCGUCAGGACCCGAUAGGGACAAACGGCGAUUCAAGGCCGAGACGUGAUGAGGUCCGGUCCUAGACCGGGAUACUGGGUAAUCCCACGCUUCCAAGAAAAGCCGCGUACGGAGCUGCUCUGGUGAUCGUACUACAAACCGACUCAGGUGGGCGGGGUGAGUAUCCCAAGGCGCGUGAGAGAACCCUGGUUAAGGAACUCGGCAAAUUGGCACCGUAACUUCGGGAGAAGGUGUGCCGCUGAUGGUGAGAAGGCUUGCCCUUCGAGCUGUUGGUGGUCGCAGUGAAAUGGCGGUUGUGACUGUUUACUAAAAACACAGGACUCUGCGAAGUCGUAAGACGACGUAUAGGGUCUGAUGCCUGCCCGGUGCUGGAAGGUUAAGGGGAUAUGUCAGCGCAAGCGAAGCAUUGAACCGAAGCCCCAGUAAACGGCGGCCGUAACUAUAACGGUCCUAAGGUAGCGAAAUUCCUUGUCGGGUAAGUUCCGACCUGCACGAAUGGCAUAACAACAUCCGCACUGUCUCGACCAGGGACUCAGCGAAAUUGCACUGGGGGUGAAGAUGCCCUCUACCCGCGGCAAGACGGAAAGACCCCAUGAACCUUCACUGCAACUUGGCAGUGGUUUUCGGUUCGUUCUGCGUAGGAUAGGUGGGAGGCUUUGAAGCCGGGCUUCCGGGUUCGGCAGAGCCAACGUUGAAAUACCACCCUGAAUGUACUGGAAACCUAACCUGCGCCCGUGAUCCGGGCGGGGAACAAUGUCUGGUGGGCAGUUUGACUGGGGCGGUCGCCUCCAAAAAAGUAACGGAGGCGCGCGAAGGUUCCCUCAGGCUGAUUGGAAACCAGCCGUAGAGUGUAAUGGCACAAGGGAGCUUGACUGCGAGACUGACAGGUCGAGCAGGUGCGAAAGCAGGUCAUAGUGAUCCGGUGGUACCGAAUGGAAGGGCCAUCGCUCAUCGGAUAAAAGGUACUCUGGGGAUAACAGGCUGAUCGCGCCUGAGAGUUCACAUCGGCGGCGCGGUUUGGCACCUCGAUGUCGGCUCAUCGCAUCCUGGGGCUGGAGCAGGUCCCAAG
Molecule: ribosomal RNA, 1512 nt
Filed under: metagenome
Description: bacterial LSU rRNA
Rfam family: Bacterial large subunit ribosomal RNA
Source: RNAcentral